CCUUCCUUCCCCAACAUUACCACAUUGAAGUUGGCUUCUUGCAACUUAAUGAAAUUCCCUGAUUUCUUGAAAGAUCAGAAUAGAUUAGUCUAUCUAGACCUUUCAAACAACAAUAUCCAUGGGGAAAUACCCAAAUGGAUUUGGGAAGCCAGAGGUCUUCUUCACCUAAAUCUUUCUCAGAACUUUCUUGUAGAAUUCGAAGGACCUUUGCAGAAUAUAACUUCUACUCUUAGUGUUCUUGACCUUCAUGGCAACCAGUUGCAAGGGAAAUUUUCAUUUUUUCCGCAAGAUGCCACCUAUCUGGAUUACUCAAACAACAAUUUCAGCUCUGAUUUACCAGCUGAGAUUGGAGACUACCUAAAUUUCGCUUAUUUCUUCUCUCUCUCGAGUAAUAAUUUUCAAGGGAGUAUCCCCAGUUCAAUAUGCAACAGUACAUAUCUUCAAGUACUUGAUCUGUCUAAUAAUUCCCUGAGUGGUGGAAUUCCUGAAUGCCUGACACAUUUCAGUAUGUCUCUUGGGGUGCUGAAUCUAAGGAGAAACAAUCUCAGUGGUGUCAUUUCUGAUACAUUUCCGCAAGACUGUGGGUUGCAAACUCUAGAUCUAAAUCGAAAUUUGCUGCAAGGAAAGGUUCCAAAAUCCUUGGCCAACUGCAAAAUGCUGGAGGUUUUAGACCUUGGAAACAAUCAGAUCAAUGAUACGUUCCCAUGUCAUUUGAAGAAUAUAUCCAGGUUGCGUGUCCUUGUCUUACGAGCCAAUAAAUUUAAUGGGAACAUUCAUUGUCCUGAGAAAAGCCCCUGGCCUGUGCUUCAGAUUGUUGACUUAGCUUCCAACAGUUUUAGUGGUAGACUGCAUUACACAUGCUUGUUGACCUGGAAGGCCAUGCAGACUGUCGAAGAUGAAGCGCAAUCAAAGCUCAAACAUCUUCAGUUUGAAAUCCUACAACUCAAUCCAUAUUACUAUAAGGAUGCAAUAACAGUUACCAUGAAAGGCUUAGAGUUGGAGCUGCUCAAGAUCCUAACAGUGUUCACCUCCAUUGACAUUUCAUGCAACAACUUUGAAGGGCCAAUACCAGAAGUGAUCGGAUCAUUCAAAGCACUUUAUGUCCUUAACCUUUCGCAUAAUGCUUUCACAGGGUCAAUCCCAUCAGUUUUAGGAAACCUGAGACAACUUGAGUCCUUGGACCUCUCAAGUAACAACUUUCAUGGUGAGAUCCCAUUCCAGCUAGCAAACCUCAAUUUCCUUGCAUUUCUAAAUGUCUCAAACAAUAAGCUAAUGGGACGGAUCCCGACAACUACCCUGCUUCAAUCAUUUGCAAAAGCUUCUUUUGAAAACAAUGCUGGAUUAUGUGGACCUCCUUUAAAGAGAAAAUGCCAAUUGCCACCAGCUAUCAAACAGAGCUCUUUCGAUUCUAGGACUAGGAGCCACAUCCACUGGAAUUUUAUAAGUGCUGAGAUAGGUUUUUUCUUUGGGUUUGGAAUUGUCAUUACGCCACUAAUCUUUUGGAAGAGAUGGAGGAUAUGGUAUUAUAAGCGCAUUGAUCUUGCUCUUAUCAGGCUUCUACCUUGGCUGGUUCUUGAAAUCAGAAAGCAUGGGAGUAGAGCUAACUGGAACCAAAGGAGGAGGCUCUAGCAACAAUUGCAGGAAUUGAGUGAAAAGAAAUUUGUAUUUUCCAUUUUCUGGCUUCUAUUUCACCUGUAUGCUUUUUUUGCCGCUUCUCUUUCCACCCUUUGCUUUCCUUGUAAAAGGUUUAUCCUGGUUCUUUUGAAACAAAUCGACUUAUUCCCAAAAAAAAAAAAAGGUCGCGUUCCAGCUACUUGUUCGGAGCUAGCAUUCUUUCGGUUUUAGCAAAUACAAAAUAGCUUCACUUAUCUAGCUGAUCACUUGCACGAUUGCAUUAAUGGCAGAACGCUCAUCACUUGGACAACUUAUCCAGAAUGACACUAGUGACUGAAGCUAAAAGUUAAUCUAAUACAUGCCUGAUAAUAAUUUAGUUUCACCUGAUCUUAUCUUGUUUGGAGGUUUGCUACAUAAUAAAAAUGAUACAGACUCCAACCACUUAGAUUGGAUGAUUCACCUAAACCUUAUCGAUCGCCUCUCCAUUGUGAAAAUUUGUCAUCUAUUUUGCGUUAUGUCAAAUCUGAAAUAACUUGUAUUCAGAGCACCCAUAAUCAUAAGAUGAAGCUUUUGCUUAAAAAGUUUUACUAGUAAUUCGUAAGACAGAUUUUUCCUCCACAUGAUAAGGGAAGAAGGGCCGAUAGAUUUCAGAAGGGAAGUUAUUGUAAUGGUGGAGUAGUAAAUUAUACUGUCGUAAACAAUGCAAGUAACAGUCUCGCUUGUAAACUUUGCAUUAGCAAUUAAUAGUAUAGCUUUUCCAAUAUAUAGUCCUGAUUUCCACAUGAUACAUUAGAAAUUUUCAAAAUAAAAUAUGAGAAUAUUGAAAAAUAAAUAAAUAAAAUAAUCGUUUAAAUUAAGAGGAGUAGAAGUCCAUAGGUAAUGGAUUUAAUUUGGUAAUGGACCAUGAGCUUGAAUUUUCAAGCUUGGCAGGUCUUAUAUUAAUUAAAUAAUUAAUAUUAGUAUUUAAUUAAUGCCAUUUGACAUUUAGUACUUGGCAUAAUAAAUAAAAUAAUAAUUUUUUAUUAAUUAAUUGUUUAAUUAAUUAAGUCUGUCCAAAAUAGAUAAACAAUUAACUCUAUCCAAAAUAGACAGACAAAUAAAAACAAAUAAUUUAUACAAAAUAAACAGAUAAAUCUAUUUAAAAUAAAUAAUUUUUAGCUGUUAAUUUGUUUAUUCAAAAUAGACAAUUAUAUUUGUAAAAUAAAUAUAUAUUUAAUUUGUUAUAUAAGCUCCUUUAGUUUUAUGAGAAAAUACAAAAACAAUUCUCAAAACUCUCCUUUUUUCAAUAAACUUUAGAUUUUUUGUUAUAAAGUUUUGCUAUAGAAAACUUCAUAAAAGUUUGUUGAUCUUGUAAUAAGUCGAUAUAUACUCAGUAGAUUGAUUUCGUCAAUAUAAAAUACAAUUAGUCAUUAAACUUCAUUGUAUCUUCAAAGUUUAUUGCCUACAACUCCUUUGCAAACUUAUUAUGUAAAUAAUACAAUGAAGGCGAAUAAAACAUUCAAAAAAUGACACCAUUAUACACCUUGAAAUUUUUUCUCGAAAUUUUAAAUUUACCAGAAACAGUAAUUCUAGAUUUAUAAUUUUGUUCUAUCAGAUUACACCUUUCAUGAUCAAUCCUAAUUUAACUUUUUGGUUCCUUAAUUAGUUCAUCUACAGCAAUGCAGUGAAGGAGUGGUAAGGCUUCCUGAGUAAGACUUAGUUUUAGGCGCCUCUGCCUGUUCAGUGCUAAAGACCUAAAUGAAUGGCAUCUUACUGAUGAAAUGCCAUGCCCUCAGACGCAAUGUGCUUUUAUAUGGAUUUUAUUCCAGCAGGCUAACUUACCAGAAUUUCAAGCAUUAUGCAUAUGAUUUGCCAUGAUCUAAACGAUUUCUUGAAUUAUUUGAUAUUGUUAACAUUUCUAACCUAGAUCAGGCCAAUCAAAAUCUAAAUUGGUCUUUUUUUCAAUUUUUUAGGCUAUAAUUAGGGUUUGAAUCAGAGAUCUUCAGUCUUUAAACCUAGCACCACUGAGCUAACAUUUCAAUGGCGGUUCAUCCUAUUUAACUCUUGAAUUAUCAUACCAAUACCAUGCAGUAGUCCGAUGUGGUCAUUUAACGGAGGAUUUAUCCCUCUAAUAAGUAAAGUCUUAAGCAUAGCAAGAAAGAGAGCAAAGUCAAUAAUUUAGGCAUAUAGUCAGUGACCAAAGUCUAUGGAAUUCCGCAUUCCUUCACUGCAGAAAAUUCUUCUUUCACAAAAUCAAUUCAGUGGUCACCUCCGGCUUGGUGACCUCCAUGGUGAGGCCUCUUUACUAGAUACUCUUGAUCUUAGUAGCAAUAAGUUACAAGGGCCACUUCCGGGGUCUGUAUUUGAACUUCAAGGUCUCAAGAUACUGUCACUUGCUUCAAACAACUUCAGUGGCAUUAUACCGCUGAGUGCCAUUCAGAACCUGAGAAAUAUUUUCAGCCUUGAUCUCUCCCAUAACCAGUUGUCUAUUAAUGCCAAUGCUACUAAUCCUUCCUUGCCUUCCUUCCCCAACGUUACCAAAUUGAAUUUGGCUUCUUGCAAUUUGAUGAUAUUCCCUGAUUUCUUGAAAAAUCAGUAUAGAUUAGUCUAUCUAGACCUUUCAAACAACAAUAUCCAUGGAGAAAUACCCAAAUGGAUUUGGGAAGCCAGAGGUCUUCAUCACCUAAAUCUUGCUCAGAACUUUCUUGUAGAAUUCGAAGGACCUUUGCAGAAUAUAACUUCUACUCUUACUGUUCUUGACCUUCAUGGCAACCAGUUGCAAGGGAAAAUUCCAUUUUUUCCGCAAGAUGCCACCUAUCUGGAUUACUCAAACAACAAUUUCAGCUCUGAUUUACCAGCUGAGAUUGGAGACUACCUAAAUUUCGCUUAUUUCUUCUCUCUCUCGAGUAAUAAUUUUCAAGGGAGUAUCCCCAGUUCAAUAUGCAACAGUACAUAUCUUCAAGUACUUGAUCUGUCUAAUAAUUCCCUGAGUGGUGGAAUUCCUGAAUGCCUGACACAUUUCAGUAUGUCUCUUGGGGUGCUGAAUCUAAGGAGAAACAAUCUCAGUGGUGUCAUUUCUGAUACAUUUCCGCAAGACUGUGGGUUACAAACUCUAGAUCUAAAUCGAAACUUACUGCAAGGAAAGGUUCCAAAAUCCUUGGCCAAUUGCAAAAUGCUGGAGGUUUUAGACCUUGGAGACAAUCAGAUCAAUGAUACGUUCCCAUGUCAUUUGAAGAAUAUAUCCAGGUUGCGUGUCGUUGUUUUACGAGCCAAUAAAUUUAAUGGGAACAUUCAUUGUCCUGAGAAGAGCCCCUGGCCUAUGCUUCAGAUUAUUGACUUAGCUUCCAACAGUUUUAGUGGUAGAUUGCAUCAAGAAUUCUUGUUGACCUGGAAGGCCAUGCAGGCUGUCGAAGAUGAAGCGCAAUCACAGCUCAAACAUAUCUACUUUGAAGUCCUGCAACUCAAUCCAUAUUACUAUCAGGAUGCAAUAACAGUUACCAUCAAAGGCUUAGAGUUGGAGCUGCUGAAGAUCCUAACAGUGUUCACCUCCAUUGACAUUUCAUGCAACAAAUUUCAGGGGCCAAUUCCAGAAGUGAUCGGAACAUUCAAAGCACUUUAUGUCCUUAACCUUUCUCAUAAUGCUUUCACAGGGUCAAUCCCAUCAUUUUUAGGAAACCUGAGACAACUUGAGUCCUUGGACCUCUCAAGUAACAACUUUCAUGGUGAGAUCCCUCUCCAGCUGGUAAACCUUAAUUUCCUUGCAUUUCUAAACGUCUCAAACAAUAAGCUAGUGGGAAUGAUCCCAACGAGUACCCAGCUUCAAUCAUUUUCAGAAGCUUCUUUUGAAAACAAUGCUGGAUUAUGUGGACCUCCUUUAAACACAGAAUGCCAAUUGCCACCAGCUACUAAAGACAACUCUUCCGAAUGUGGGACUGGGAGCCACAUCAACUGGAAUGUUAUAGCUGCUGAGACAGGUUUUUUCUUUGGGUUUGGAAUUGUCAUUACACCAUUAAUCUUUUGGAAGAGAUGGAGGAUAUGGUAUUUUAAGCGCAUUGAUCGUGCUCUUAUUAGGCUUCUACCUUGGCUGGUUCUUGAAGUCAGAAAGCAUGGGAGGAGAGCUAACUGGAACCAGAGGAGGAGGCUCUAGCAACAAUUGCAGGAAUUGAGUGAAAAGAAUUUUAGAUAUCUCCUUUAUUGUAUUUUCUAGUUUCUGGCUUCUGUUUCACCUAUAUGCUUUUUUUUGCUGCUUCUCUUUCCACCCUUUGCUUUCCUUGUAAAAGUUUUAUCCUGGUUCUUUUGGAACAAAUUGAAUUAUGCCAAAAGAAAUGGGUUGCGUUCGAGCUAAGUUGUAUUCGAGGCUAGCAUUCUGUUGGUUUUAGGCAAAUAAAAGAUGCCUCCACUAGCUGAUCAUCCUUACACGAUUGCAUUAAUGACAGAACGCUCAUCAGUUGGACAACUUAUCCAAUAUGACACUUUUGACAGGAUCUAAAAAUUAAUCUAAUACAUGCCAGAUAAUAAUCAGUUUCACCUGUUCGUGUUUUUUUGAGGGUUUACUACAUAAUAAAAAUGAUUACUGAUUCCAACGACUUAGAUUGGACCAUUCACCAGAACCUUAUCGCCUCUCCGCUGUGAAAAACUGACAUCUAUUUUGCGCUAUGUCAAAUCCAUAAUAACUUUUAUUCAGAGAACCCAUAAUCAUAAGAUGAAACUUUUGCUUAAAAUGUUUUUUUAGUAAUUCGUAGCACAGAUUUUUCCUCCACGCGAUAAGGGAAGAAGGGCUGAUAGAUUUCGGAGGGACAUUAUUGCAAUGGUGGAGUAUCAAAUUAAACUCUGUUGUAGUAAACAGAGUCGUAGUCUCGCUUGUAAAUUUUGCAUUAGCAAGUAACAGUAUUGGUUUUCCAAUAUAUUGUCCUGAUUUCCAUACGUUACACCUUUCCCGAUCAAAAUCCUAAUUUAACUUUUUUUUUAUUUCGUUUCAAGGAGGGCUAAAGCCCUGUUACAAGGGGGAGGGAGGAAGCUUGGUUCGAAACCAAACAUUUAUCUCCCUAAAAGCUUCUGUGACCACUAGGCCAUGAAGUGGAAGACUAAUUGAACUUUUUUGUUCUUUAGUUUAUUUACUCAAAUGCAGUGCAAGAGUAGUAAAGAUUCGCGAGUGACUUUAUCUUCGGCACCUCUGACUAUUUCAGUGUAAGGCUGAAGGAAUGCAUCUUCCUGAUGGCAAUGCCAUGCCCUCAUACCAAUGUGCUUUUAUAUGGUAUUUAUUUCAGCAAGCAGCUUACCAGAAUUUCAAGCAUUUACAUAUGAUUUGCCAUGAUCUAAACGAUUACUUUAAAUUAUUUGAAUUGUUAAAUUUCUAACCCAGUUAGGCAAUUCAAAAUCUGGAUUCACCCUUUUUUUUUUUAAUUUUUAAGGCUAUAAUUGGAGUUAUAAUUUGAGAUCUUCAGUCUUGAAACUGAGUAACACUAAGCUACCAUUUCAUUGUUGGUUCAUCCUAUUUAACUCUUGAAUUAUCAUACCAAUACCAUGCAGUAGUCCGAUAAGGUCAUUUAACGGACGAUGUACUCGUCUAAUAAGUAUGUCUUAAGCAUAGCAAGAAAGAGUGCGAAGUCAAUAAUUUAAGAUAUAGCAAGUGCCAAAAGGUCUAUGGAAUUAAUUCAGGUUUCCGCCAAGACGUGGAAAAGCUCCGAAAAUGGACUGCUACUCUGAUAUGGACAUUCAACCAACCCUUGUAAUAGUGAUAAUGGCAUGGCUAGCAAUUUUCUUCUGCCGUUCCUCUGAUCAUGCUUGUCUUGCAGAAUAUAUUGCAGCAAUCGGUGCCAUAAUAAAGACGCUUUAUCCAAGGACCCAUGCAGAAUUUAUGUUAGUGGGGGCAAAAUUAUAACAUUGUUGAAGAAAACAGCCUAAGUUCCAAGAAAACUACAGUACAAAGAGGGGAACAUCAAGUUUCGCAUGUAUUUCACCAGAAAGACAAAUAUUUUUCUCGUAUUAGGACCAGCCAGUCUAAUAGGUGUGAGGAAACGCCGGCCCUGGUUGAGCAUUAUUUCUUAGAAAGGAAGGGCAUUUGUUCUCAUGGGACUGUUGAAAUUUGAACAUAGAUGUCAUUUUCUUUUAAGGCUCUAUGGAAGUUUACCGAGCCUCCACUAUCUUCCCCAUUAAGGAGUCCUUCUACCCCUUCAAUCUGCUGCUGCUGGAAUUUUUUGGUACGGUUCUCGACUUUCUUCUUUCUUAUCAUCAAUAGCUGGUACAAUCCCAUCAAAAUACUAUUCAUAAAGUAAAUUUUGAUUAAAAAAAUAAAAAAUUAAAUUCUAUUAAAAAUAAAACUAAAAGUUUUUUUAACAAAAAUUGAAAUAUAUCUAAAUAAUUUCAAAUCCAUUAUCUUGAUUUAUAAUUCUUCUUUUAUAAAAGUUCGAGAUUUUCAUGGAGUAAUUUAAAUAUUAAAAUCAAAAUAAAAUUCAAAUGAAAAAAUUUCAAACUAUAAAUGCAUUUUUCCUUGUUUCCCCUCAUUACCUUAUUUCUAGGCUUUGCUAAUAGAAUCCAAAAUCAUAUAUAACCAAAAAAACCCAAACCGAAUUAUGAAUUUUUUGGGCCAAAAAUCAAAUUAUGAAUGGGAAAACAUUUAAAUCCGCCAGAGAGCCAGGUUUGAUUUGGAGCAUAUAACUCCAAGGGUCCAAGGACUCCAAGUCAAAAAGACCUGUUAUAGUCGUAACAUCUAAAACCUAAAUCUAGUGACACUUGCUAAAAUUUAUUGGAGGAGGUCCAACUCCAAUACAACCCGGAAAAUGUGAUGGAAAUAGUCACUUAAAUUUCAUAGUCUUUUGUUUUGUCCCCGUUUUUUUAAUAUUUCAAAAUUAUGUUUUUUUAAUAUUUAAAAUUUUUAUUUUUUAUUUUUUAUAUUUUAAAAUUAUUUUUUUAUGAUUUUUUAUUUUUUGACAUUAAAAUUUUUGAAACUUUAAUUUUAUAAAAAAAUUUAAAAUUUUAAUAUUAAUCCCAUUAAUAUCAAAGUUUUUUUUUUAAUUCCAUAAAAGUCAAUACAUAACAAAUAUUUUAGAACGAAGGGAAUAAUAAAUUUAUUUGAGGUUGCUAAAAUAUUACUUCAUUGAUAAAAAUAAUUUGUAAAAAAAAUUUAGAAGAAAAGAAUUACUUAUAGAUAAUUUAAUAUACUUAUAAAUAAAUGAAAUUUUCAUAAAAUUAGAUAUUAAAACAAAGAUAUAAGAAAAUUAUAAUAUUUUAUUGGAUAUAAAUCAAAGAUUGAAAGUAUUUUUAUGAAUAUGUAUAUUUAAAUAUACUAGAGAAAGAUUAAAAAAUCCACAUAAAUAUUGUAAGCUAUAUAUAUUUAUGUAGAUUAAAAAUAUUUUAUAAUAUUAGAGGAGAAUAAAAAAAUUUAAGAAUAUUAAUGAUGAGUGUUUAUUAUAUAAUUUGUAUAUUUAUAAUUUUUUAUAAUUAAUAAAUUUUUUUAGCCUUAAACAUAAAUUAAAUAAGUUAAAUUUCGUUAAAUUAUUGUCUUUGAUUAAUUGUUUAGUUUUCUUCUGCAUUUAACUAUUUAAUUAAAUGGAGGUUUUUUUGCCUCACAACACGUGGGGCUAACGAUGGGAAAGGGCCAGAAUAUGUUUGGAUUUUCCACUCUCUAUAGACUCUUGUGUAUGUGAACCCUGGAAAAAGGGCUUCUAAACAAAUUAGUCGUUUCAUAUUAAAUGAUAAAUAAAUAAAUGAUAACUAAAUAAAUGUUUUGUCCUCGUCUCCCAUUUUUAAUGUUGUUUUCUUAAUUCUUUUGCUGACCUCCUUUUUAUGUUUUAUUUUUUACUUUAUUCAUAUAUUUUCCCUAGUUUUUUUUAUGUGGUUAAAAUUAAGGGUGUAAAUGAUACAUUAGUAUUCAUAAAUUAUUCGAGUUCGAUUCAAAAAAAAUUCGAAUUCUUAUUGUCGAGUUAAACUCUAGCUCGAGUAACUUGACUUAUCGAUCGAGUCGAAUUCGAGUAUUCUUAUAUCUGACUCGAGUAACUCGCGAGCCUAAUCGAGCUUUUAUAUUUAAAUAUAUUUUUAUUAUUUUAAUUAAUAAAAUAUUUCGAGUCCAAAUUCGAGUUCGAAUUCGAGCAUGAAUAAUUGAACUCUUGUCGAAUAUACGAAUCGAACUUAUUUUUACAUAUUAAUCGAGCGAGCUCGAAUAACUCGAAUAUCUCAAAUUCGAUCACGAAUCGAGUUCGAACUUAAAAAAUAAAACUUGAUCGAACUCGAAUCGAGUAUCGAACCCCAAAUUAUAAGUCGAGCUCGAACUCGAACUCGAACUUCUUAACUCGACUCGACUCUGGCAGUUGUUUCCUCUACAGUAUUUACAGACAUUUUUUAAUGUGAGAUUACUGUUCAAAGGUCACGUGCUAGUAUAUUUGAUCUCAAAUCAAAUAAAAACAAAAUUUAUUAAAAAUAAAAAUAUUUCUAGGAAAGCAUUAUUAGAGUAUUUUUGGGGAAGUAAGUUCGAUUUUUGUCAUAAAAAUUACAUAAUUGAAUUUGGACAAAAUUUAUGUUCCAGAUCAAUAAGGUCUCAACAUCCAUGAUCCAUUAAAACCCAACAGAGACUUGUUGCUUCGUCAAUGUUUUUCACCGCAUGGUUUCACAUUGUCAGUUUUCAACAUUUCUCACUUUCAAACAGAAGACUUUGACGACCAGAUAGUGUCGAAUAGUAGUAGUAAUGUCAACAUCUUUUAACAGGUGGCAGUAAUUUUUAUUACAACAUUUGUUUUAUCCUACGAGAAUUUUGUAGCCUGGCUAGCGGAGAUGAACCAAACAAGAUUCUAAAUCCUUUUCUUUCUCUUUCAUUUUGUUGAAUCCAAGAACCUUUAUUUAAUUGCAUGUCUUCUGGUUGAGUUGUUCCUUACAAUAUUUGGUUCUUCUGUUAUAUUAAAACCAGGAUAGUCAGGCCCGGCCACGGCCUGAAAAUUUUCACAAUUGGUUAAUUCUUUUCGUACCAUUAUGUGCUUACAUUGAUUUUCCCAAAAUCCGCUUUAAAUUUUGUUUUCCUUGUUUCGAAAUAGAAUUAAUAAAAGAUUGUGUUUAGAUGAGUCGGAAAUCAGUAAACACUGAAUCAUCAAUUAUUAUUGCUAAUCAAUCAGUAAAAAAAUAAAAGCCAAAUCCUCAAUUCCUCUUGACAACGGUAGAAUAAGAAGCCUAAAGGGAAUGCUGUUGGUCUGCUUAUAUUAAGUUACGAGUGGCCAGAAGCUUUGCAUCGACAAGAAUCAAGUCUUCGGUUUGAUUUUUCCAAGGUGGCUAGAACUUUCAACAUAAGAAGCUACCGGCCUUCAGCCAAAGUGUUCAACAAAAUUAUACUUCAGAAAAGCCGACCAAAAGACGUGUCUUAUACAUAUAGCUAGAACUAACAACAACACACUAAGUACGCGGUUCACCUUUGACGGUACUUUCUUUGCUCACCAUUCCAUUCUCUGCCUCUCUCCCUGCUUCUUUCUCUUCUUCUUUCUACUUUCCUCAUUCUGCAUUUUUGGUUCCCGUCCUUGCCAAAACGUUAGGUCUUUGGUCGGCCACCAUUCGAUCAGGAUAUGCCAAAAGCUUAUGCUUGUGGCCCUGCAUCCUCCUCAACCUACUCCCAUUGCUAUCUUCUUCAUAAUUCUUAGUUGUAUGGAUAUCUCUCGUUACCGUUACUAAUGAGGAUUUCACUCUUUUCAUGGGUUUUCUUGAAUUCUUUUAUAGCAGUUUUCUUUAGCAUCAAUGUAGUUUGCAUUUCUGCCCAAUGUUAAAGCGAUCAGAGACAGUUGUUGCUCGAAUUGAAAAGAAGCCUCAAUUCUACUUCAUUAGGAAAGCUGGUGAAGUGGUGUCACACCCCGGAUUGCUGUUCCUGGGAUGGUGUAAGCUGCGAUGAAGGUGGUCGGGUUAUCGGCCUUGACUUGAGCAACCAAUCAAUUUCAGGUGCAAUUGAGAAUUCAAGUAGUCUAUUCAGUCUUAAGCAUCUGCAGCGACUCGAUUUGUCUUACAACAGACUCAGCUCAGCUUUUCCUUCAGGGUUUGACAAGUUUGCAAAAUUGAGUUAUCUCAAUGUGUCAAAUGCUGGCUUUAAAGGGCAAAUUCCAGCGGAGAUUUCAAGCAUGACAAGAUUGGUUACUCUGGACUUAUCUGUAAGUUUAUUUCUUAGAAGACCCUUGAAACUUGAGAAGCCAAACCUAAAGACGCUCGUUCAAAAUCUCACGAGGCUAAGAUUUCUCCAUCUUGAUGGCGUAUAUAUAUCAGCAAGAGGAAAUGAGUGGUGUCAGGCCUUGUCCUCACUGACCAGUUUGGAAGUGUUGAGCAUGUCCAACUGUAAUCUUUCAGGACCCAUAGAUUCUUCCUUUUCGAAGCUUCGGUCUCUCACAGUAAUCCCCUUGGACAACAACAACUUGUCUGCUCCACUACCAAAAUUCUUUGCAGAAAUCCUAAAUUUAACUUCCCUUCGUCUUAGUGCCACUAGACUGCAUGGAAGACUUCCAGAAGAAAUCCUCCAAGCACCUACAUUACAGAUUCUUGAUUUGUCAAAAAACAAAUUACUCACAGGUUCGUUUCGAGACUUUUCUCUGAAUGCAUCUCUUCAGACAUUGGUGCUUAGUGACACAAAAUUUGGGGGACAAGUACCAGAAUCUAUUGGUAACCUUGGGCAAUUGACAAGGAUAGAGCUUGCACGUUGCAAUUUCAGUGGACCAACACCAGAUUCAAUCCUGAAACUUACACACCUUGUCUAUCUGGAUUUUUCAUCUAACAAUUUUUCUGGUCCAAUGCCAUCGUUCUCAUCAUCAAGAAAUCUUACACAGCAAAACCUUGCUCAUAAUCAGGUAAAGGGCACAAUUCAGUCCACUGAUUGGUCAGGGAUUUCUAAGCUAGUAAGUAUUGACUUACGAAACAACAAAUUCAAUGGAGCAAUCCCAACAACUUUAUUCCGCAUUCCUUCACUGCAGAAAAUUCUUCUUUCACAAAAUCAAUUCGGUGGUAACCUCCGGCUUGGUGACCUCCAUGGUGAGGCCUCUUUACUAGAUACUCUUGAUCUUAGUAGCAAUAAGUUACAAGGGCCACUUCCAGGGUCUGCAUUUGAACUUCAAGGUCUCAAGAUACUGUCACUUGCUUCAAACAACUUCAGUGGCUUUAUACCACUAAGUGCCAUUCAGAAUCUAAGAAAUCUUUCCAGCCUUGAUCUCUCCCAUAACCACUUGUCUAUUAAUGCCAGUGCAACUAGUCCUUCCUUACCUUCCUUCCCCAGCAUUACCUCAUUGAUGUUGGCUUCCUGCAACUUAAUGAAAUUCCCUAAUUUCUUGAAAAAUCAGGCUGGAUUAGUCUGUCUAGACCUUUCAAACAAAAAUAUCCAUGGGGAAAUACCCAAUUGGAUUUGGGAAGCCCGAAGUCUUCUUCACCUAAAUCUUUCUUAGGACAUUCUUGUAGAAUUCCAAGGACCUUUGCAGAAGUUAUGCAGAAUAUAACUUCUGCUCUUAGUGUUCUUGACCUUCACAGCAACCAGUUGCAAGGGAAAAUUGCAUUUUUUCCGCAAUAUGCCCCUUUCUGGAUUACUCAAACAACAAUUUCAGCUCCGAUUUACCAGCUGAGAUUGGUGACUACCUCAAUUUCGCUUAUUUCUUCUCUCUCUUGAGUAAUAAUUUUCAAGGGAGUAUCCCCUGGUCGAUAUGCAACAGUAUAUAUCUUCAAGUACUUGCUCUGUCUAAUAAUUCCCUGAUGAAAUCUGAAUGCUGAACAUUUCAGAGCUUAAGGGUGCUGAAUCUAAAGAACAUCUCAGGGUGUCAUUUCCGAUAAUUUCAAGAUAGUGGGUUACAAACUCUAGAUCUAAAUCAAACUUACUCAAGGAAAGUUCCAAAUCUUGGUCACUGCCUGCUGGAAAUUAGACUUUGAAAAAUCAGCAAUGAUACAUUCCCAUGUCAUUUGAAGAGUAUAUCAGUGCUUUCCUUUUUUACGAGCAUAUAAAUUUAAUGGGAAACAUCAUUGUCCUGAAAGACCUCCAGGCUAAUGCAUCAGAUAUUGACUUAGCUCCUGACAGUUUUAGUGUAGAUUGCAUCAAGAAUUCUUGUUGUUAAGGCAUGCAGGCUGUCGAAUUGAAGCCAAUCAAACUCAAAAUCUUAGUUUAAACUACAACUCAAUAUUCUAUAGGAUGCAAUAACAGUUACCAUCAAAGGCUUAGAGUUGAGCUGCUGAAGAGAUUAAAAUUUCACUCAUUGACAUUUAUGCAACAACUUUGAAGGGCCAAAUCAGAUGCGAAAAUUCAAAGACUUUAUUUCCUUAACUUUCAUAAGCUUUCCAGGGUUUGAUGGAUUUGCCUUGAAUCUCAGAAUCCCACAUCGAAAGUUAAGUAAGUUUGAAUUUGUCUUGUAUCCCACAUCGGGAGUUUAGUAAAGGUAUAAAGGGUUUCACCCUUAUAAAUAAGAUGUUUUGGUUUUAGUUUAGUAACCACAUAGAGUUAGACACCAAGAGAAUAGCUAAGUGAGUAGGCUAUUAAAGGGUGUAAUUAGUUUUGGGUUAAGUUUUGAGUAAGGAGUUUUAGGAGACUUUUCUCAUUCUAAAAGUCUCACAAUUGUAAAGAUUUAUUUGAUAGUGGAUUAAGUUGGAGUAGGCCAUUUUGAGUUGGGCCGAACCAAAUAUAUUUGUGUGUUCUUAUUCUUGAUUUGAACUUGUUAUUUUGUGUGUGGUUGCUGCGCGGAGGUAUUGUUGUUUUUCCCAACAAGUGGUAUCAGAGCGAGGUUCCAGGUUCGAGGUUUUAGGUUCGUGGGUCCAAGAGAUCGUGAAGCAGUGUUUGAAGAUGUCUGAAGAAGGUAUGUCUGGUAUGUCUAUGCCUAAGUUUGAGAUUCCGUUAUUUGAUGGAAAGAGUAAUUUUAUGUUAUGGCAAAGUACGAUUCAAGAUCUGUUAGUACAACAAGGAUUGGAUCAGGCAUUGGAGAGUAGUAAGCCUGAAGGAAUGUCUGAUGCUAAUUGGAAUAGGAUUCAGAAGAAGGCUGUUAGUACUAUUAGAUUGGCGUUAGCUCCAGAAAUAAAGUACAGUGUGUUGACUGAGAGUACUCCGAAGAGUUUGUGGGAUAAGCUUGAAGGUAUUUAUGCUUCGAAGUCGUUGACUAAUAGAUUAUGUUUAAAGAUGGAUCUGUAUUCUCUGAAGAUGGAAGAAGGUAUGAGUCUUCAUAAUCACCUGAAUGAAUUUAAUAAAUUGGUUUCUCAAUUGUUAGCGAUUUCUGUUGAUGAGUUAAAAGAUGAAGAGAAGGCUUUAAUUUUGCUGUCAUCUUUGCCCAAGUCUUAUAGGCCUUUAGUUCAGACUGUGUUGGUAGGCAGGUCUAUUUUGAAGUUGGAUGAUGUGACUGCCCUGUUGCGUGAGAAUGAAAGGUUUAUGGGAGCUCAGAACUCAUCACCUGGGGGGAGUACACUAGCUGUAGAGGGUUUUGAUCGAGGGAGGACUCAAAAGAGGAUUGAUGGAUCAAGAUGGAGAUCCAAGUCAAGAGACAGAGAUUACAGUGAUGUAGAAUAUUAUUAUUGUGGUGAGAAGGGACAUAUCCAAGUGCGCUGCAGGAAGCUGAGAAGGGAUAUGGCUGCUUUCAAAAGGGCGAAUGAUGAGAAGAAAUCAGAUGAAGAAAAGAGUGAUACUGCUGCUAUUUUGUCUGAUGAUGAUGAUGUUGUUUUGACAACUUAUGUGGAUGAGACCCAGACUUUGAAAAGUGACAAAGGUUGGGUUUUAGAUUCAGCUGCUACAGUUCAUGUUUGCAAUGAUAGGAGCUGCUUUGUGGAGUUGAAUGAGAAUGAAAAGUAUGGGGAUAUUGUGAUUGCUAACAAAGAAAAUGUGCAGAUUCAAGGCAUUGGGAGUGUUCGCCUUAAAUCUCACAAUGGUGUUAUUAGGACACUUCGUCAUGUAAGGUAUGUACCAAAUUGUCACUACAAUUUGAUUGCUUUGGGUGAGUUAGCUUCUCGAGGGUACACAUAUUAUGGUAGUAAUGAUUGGUUGAAAGUGUACAAGAAUGGUAGUGUGAUUCUACAAGGGAAUAGGGUCAAUCACUUGUACAUGUUUGAUGGAGGCUCAGUUGCUGGAAUGCCUGUGAUGAAAGAAAAGAAGAAAGGUAAGCAUGUUAGCUUUGCAGAUACUGUUGAAGUGUUUGGAGAUUCAAGUCAAGGGAGGAUUUGUUGGGAUUUGCCUUGAAUCUCAGAAUCCCACAUCGAAAGUUAAGUAAGUUUGAAUUUGUCUUGUAUCCCACAUCGGGAGUUUAGUAAAGGUAUAAAGGGUUUCACCCUUAUAAAUAAGAUGUUUUGGUUUUAGUUUAGUAACCCCAUAGAGUUAGACACCAAGAGAAUAGCUAAGUGAGUAGGCUAUUAAAGGGUGUAAUUAGUUUUGGGUUAAGUUUUGAGUAAGGAGUUUUAGGAGACUUUUCUCAUUCUAAAAGUCUCACAAUUGUAAAGAUUUAUUUGAUAGUGGAUUAAGUUGGAGUAGGCCAUUUUGAGUUGGGCCGAACCAAAUAUAUUUGUGUGUUCUUAUUCUUGAUUUGAGCUUGUUAUUUUGUGUGUGGUUGCUGCGCGGAGGUAUUGUUGUUUUUCCCAACACAGGGUCAAUCCCAUUAUUUUUAGGAAACCUGAGACAACUUGAGUCCUUGGACCUCUCAAGUAACAACUUUCAUGGUGAGAUCCCUCUCCAGCUGGUAAACCUCAAUUUCCUUGCAUUUCUAAAUGUCUCAAACAAUAAGUUAGUGGGAAGGAUCCCAACGACAACCCAGCUUCAAUCAUUUCAGAAGCUUCUUUGAAACAAUGCUGGAUUAUGUGGACCUCCUUUAAACACAGAAUGCCAAUUGCCACCAGCUACUAAAGACAGCUCUUCCGAUUGUGGACUAGGAGCCACAUCGACUGGAAUUUUAUAGCUGCUGAGACAGGUUUUUUUCUUUGGGUUUUGAAUUGUCAUUACACCACUAAUCUUUUGGAAGAGAAGGAGGAUAUGGUAUAUUAAGCGCAUUGAUCGUGCUUUUAUCACGCUUCUACCUUGGCUGGUUCUUGAAGUCAGAAAGCAGGGGAGGAGAGCUAACCGGAACAGAGGAGGAGGCUCUAGCAACAAUUGCAGGAAUUGAGUGAAAAGAAUUUUAGAUAUCUCCUUUAUUGUAUUUUCCAGUUUCUGGCUUCUGUUUCACCUAUAUGCUUUUUUUUUGCUGCUUCUCUUUCCACCCUUUGGUUUCCUUGUAAAAGUUUUGUCCUGGUUCUUUUGGAACAAAUUGAAUUAUUCCAAAAGAAAUGGGUUGCGUUCGAGCUAAGUUUUGUUCGAGGCUAGCAUUCUGUCGGUUUUAGGCAAAUAAAAGAUGCCUCCACUAGCUGAUCAUCCUUUCACGAUUGCAUUAAUGACAGAACGCUCAUCAGUUGGACAACUUAUCCAGUAUGACACUUGUGACAGAAGCUAAAAGUUAAUCUAAUACAUGCCUGAUAAUAAUCAGUUUCACCUGUUUGUGUUUUGUUUGAAGGUUUACUACAUAAUAAAAAUGAUUACUGAUUCCAAGGACUUAGAUUGGACCAUUCACCAGAACCUUAUCGCCUCUCCGCUGUGAAAAACUGACAUCUAUUUUGCGCUAUGUCAAAUCCGAAAUAACUUUUAUUCAGAGAACCCAUAAUCAUAAGAUGAAACUUUUGCUUAAAAUGUUUUUUUAGUAAUUCGUAGCACAGAUUUUUCCUCCACGCGAUAAGGGAAGAAGGGCUGAUAGAUUUCAGAAGGGACAUUAUUGCAAUGGUGGAGUAUCAAAUUAAACUCUGUUGUAGUAAACACAGAAGUAGUAGUCUCGCUUGUAAAUUUUGCAUUAGCAAGUAACAGUAUUGCUUUUCCAAUAAAUUGUCCUGAUUUCCAUACGUUACACCUUUCCCGAUCAAAAUCCUAAUUAAACUUUUUUUUUUUCUUUUUUUGGUUUCAAAGGGGACUAAAGUCCUAUUACAAAGGGGAGGGGGAAAGCUUGGUUCAAAAUCAAGACUUUAUGUUUUCCUAAAAGCUUACGUGACCACUAGGCCACGAAGCGGAAGACUAAUUGAACUUUUUUGUUCCUUAGUUUAUUUACUCUAAUGCAGUGCAAGAGUAGUAAAGAUUAGCGAGUGACUUUAUCUCGGCACCUCUGACUAUUUCAGUAUAAGGCUGAAGGAAUGCAUCUUCCCGAUGGUAAUGCCAUGCUCUCAUAUCAAUGUGCUUUUAUAUGGUAUUUAUUUCAGCAAACAACUUACCAGAAUUUCAAGCAUUUACAUAUGAUUUGCCAUGAUCUAAACGAUUACUUUAAAUUAUUUGAAUUGUUAAAUUUCUAACUCAGCUAGGCAAUUCAAAAUCUGGAUUCAUCCAUUUUUUAAUUUUUAAGGCUAUAAUUGGGGUUAUAAUUCGAGAUCUUCAGUCUUGAAACCGAGUAACACUAAGCUACCAUUUCAUUGUUGGUUCAUCCUAUUUAACUCUUGAAUUAUCAUACCAAUACCAUGCAGUAGUCCGAUAAGGUCAUUUAACGGAGGAUGUACUCCUCUAAUAAGUAUAGUCUUAAGCAUAGCAAGAAAGAGUGCGAAGUCAAUAAUUUAAGAUAUAGCAAGUGCCAAAGGUCUAUGGAAUUAAUUCAGGGUUCCGCCAAGACGUGGAAAAGCCCAGAAAAUGGACUGCUACUCUGAUAUGGACAUUCAACCAACCCUUGUAAUAGUGAUAGUGGCAUGGCUAGCAAUUUUCUUCUGCCGUUCCGCUGAUCAUGCUUGUCUUGCAGAAUAUAUUGCAGCAAUCGGUGCCAUAAUAAAGACGCUUUAUCCAAGGACCCAUGCAGAAUUUAGGUUAGUGGGCGCAAAAUUAUAACAUUGUUGAAGAAAACAGCUUAAGAUUCAAGAAAACUACAGAACAAAGAGGGGAACAUCAAGUUUCACAUGUAUUUCACCAGAAAGACGGAAGUAUUUCACAUGUAUUAGGACCAGCCAGUCUAGUAGGUGUGAAGAAACGCCGGUCUUGGUUGAGCAUUAAUUCUUAGAAAGGAAAGGCAUUUGUUCUAAUAGGGCAGUUGAAAUAUGAACAUAGAAGUCAUUUUCUUAGAAGACUCCGUGGAACUUUACCGAGCCUCCACUAUCUUCCCCAUUAAAGAGUCCUUUUCCACCAUUAAUCUGCCGCUUGAAUUUUUUGGUACGAUUCUCAACUUUCUUGUAUCUAUUAUCAAUAGCCGUUACAAUCCCAUCGAAAUAAUAUUCAUAAAGUAAAUGUUGAUAAAAAAAAUCUAAAAUUAAAUCCUAUUAAAAAUGAAAUUAAAAGUUUUUUAAUAAAAAAUUAAAUAUAUCUAAAUAAUUUCAAAUUCAUUACCUUGACUUAUAAUUUCCCUUUUACAAAAAUUUUUAGAUUUUAGAAUAAUUUGAAUAUUAAAAAUGAAAAUUAAAUCCGAAUAAAAAUUUUGAAACUACAAAUGCACUUUCCUCCCCUCCUUAGCUUGUUCGUUGCAUUACUCGUAGGCUUUGCUAACAUAAUCCAAAAUCACAAAUUUACCCAAAAAAAGAAAAAAACACCCAAACCAAAUUAUGAAUUUUUCGGCCGAAAACCAAAUUAUGAAUGGAAAAACAUUUAAAGCCGCCAGAGAACCUGGUUUGAUUUGGAGCAUAUAACUCCAAGACUCCAAGGACUCAAAGUCAAAAAGAACCGUUGUGAACGUAACAUCUAAAACCUAACGGGCAAUGACACUUGCUCAAAUUUAUUGGAGGAGGUCCAAACUCCGACGCAACCCUGGAAAAUGUGGGGCCGACGAUGGGCCUGACCGGGCAGAAAAUGUUUACAUUUUCCAUUAUCUCUGGACUCUAUGUGAACCCAAGAAAAAGGGGACCCAUCUUCAAACAAAUUAGUCGUUUCCUUGUCUUAUUAAAUGAUAAACAAAUGUUUUGGCCCAUUUUUAACAUUGUUUACUCACUUCUUUGUGCUUACCUUUUUUUUUUUUUUUUUAACUUUAUCCAUUUAUUUUCGUUAGUUUUCUUUGUGGGGUUAGGAUGGCGAGCUAGUGUUCAUCUCGCGGCAGCUGUUUCCUCUACAGUAAUUAGAGACCAUUUUUUAAUGCGAUGUUACUGUUGAAAAGUCAUGUGCUACUAUUCUCGAUCUCAAAUCAAAUAAGAACAGAAUUUAUUAAAAGAAAAAUAUUUCUAGGAAAGCAUUAUUAUAGACCAUUUUUUGAGAAGUAAAUUCGAUUUUAGUAAAAAAAAAAUUAAAUAAUUGAGUUUGGACAAAAUCUAUGUUCCACUCUAAUAAGGUCUCAAAAUCCAUGAUGAAUUAAAACCCAACAGAUUUGCGACUUAGUCAAUUUUUUUCACCUCAUAGUUUCACAUUGUUAGUCGAAUUUUCAACAUUUCUCACUUUCAAACAGAAGAGUGUGACGAUCAGAUCAUGUCGAAUUGUCCUAGUAAUGUCAACUUUCUUUAAUUGCCUGUUUUCUAGUUGAGUUGUUCCUUUCAAUAUUUGGUUCUUUUGUUAUUUUAAAAUAGAAAUAGUAAUAUGCUAGUACGUUAUUGGGGGUCUAAUUUUUUUUUAUUUAUAGUUAGUAAUGUUCUUGAUAAAUUUAAUAAAUCAAUAAUUAUAAUUUGAUUUAUAAUGUUUUAAUAAAAAUAAUAUUAACAAAAAUUUAUCAAUUAAUUUAUAGGUAAUAUAUAUUCAUUCUAUUAAUUUAUAUAAUAAAUCAAAUUCAUAUUUUUUCUUUCAAAUUUAUUUUAACAAAUAUAGUUCAAAUAUAUUAAAAUAAAUAAUUAAAAACUCAAACUUCAAAAAGGUCAAAAAAAAAAAAAAAAGGAAGAAAAGGAAAGAAAGCAAAAUAGGGGUGCCAAGUGGAUAUAUACAGUCAACAAUGGCAAUGGAUCAAAUAAGGUGAGUUUAUACUUGUCACAACUUUGACUUGACUAGGGAUGGUAACCCAAUCCAUCCUUGACAAAUUUCAAUCCCAUCCAUAACGUCAAUUAUUAUUUUUUUUAAAUUAAAUUUUAAAUCAGAUCGAAUAAUAGUAAUAAAAUAUUGAGAUUAGGUUUUAAGUAAAUCUGUCUCGAUAUAUAUAAAAAAUAUUUUUAAUUAAUUAUUUAAUUUUAAUUUUAUAUUUAUUUAUUUAUUUUUAUAUUUACAUUAAAAAAAUAUUUUAUAUUAAAAAAUAUUUUAUUAAUUUCAUGUCAUGUCAGAUCGAGUAAAAUUUUAUAUAAUAUCAGGUUGGUUUGGGUAUUAAAAAAAUUUAAAAAAAUUUGUUAGAUCGAAUUUGGGUAUUAUAAGCAUCAAGUUAAGUGUGGUUUGAAGCAAACAAAAAUCCACCCAAAUCCAUUACCAUCUAUAGACUUAGCAUUUUAUUAUUAUUUUUUACAUUUAAUCCUUGCCCAACAUAUAUAUAGAUGUAUAACUCGUAUUCAAUUCAACUUGACAAUAAAAUUUAAUAAUAUAAUAUUUAUGAAAAAUAUUAUUAUUAAUAUAAAUUAUGUUUUUAAUUAUAUAUAAAUAUAAUAUUUUAUCAAAUUAAGGUAUUAAAUAAUAAUUAUAUCAAUAUAAUACAUAUAUAUAAAUAUAAAAUUAAAUACAUAACAUAUAUUCUUAUAUAUACUUGUGAAGGGGAUGAGAUGGAACAUUCUAAAUCCAUCUCUGAUUUAACUUUGAUUUUCAAAAGGGAAAGUUACCUUACACUGAACCAAUUUUAUUUUAAAAUAAUUAUUUUUAUUGAAUCGACAAGUCAAAAUUCGUUGAAGAUGAGUUAUUUUACCAUUAUAACCUUUAUUGAUCUCAUUUCUUAUUAAAUUUGUCUUAUUAAAAAAUGUAAAAAAAAAAAACUCAAAUCAAGAUGCUACAUUGACACUUUAAUUGCUCAUUAUUUAUCUUUAGAAAUAUAAGUAAGAAAUGCUAAAAUAGGUAAUGAAAAAAAAACUAAAUAUAUAUAUAUAUAUAUAUACAACCGAAAAAAAAAAAAAAAACCAAAUGGAAGUAUCACUUUGGGAUGUCAAUGGAUAAGGUUUGAGGCAAGUAGAAUAUUUUCAUCCUUAUCUUUGAAAUUUUAUAAUAUAUUCAUCAUCAUAUCCAUACCCAAUAGGUAUUUUAAAUUUAUCCUCAUUCUAUCUUUGUUGAUAUUUAAUGAGUAUGGAUAAUCUCCAUACCUAUAGCUUUAAAAAAAAAAUAAAAACCAAAGCUUUUUUUUUAAAUUUUUAUCUUGUAUAUUUAUGUAUUUUUUUAUAAAUAUAUAUAUUAAUAUGAACUUUUAAAAUAAAAAUAUAUUAAUUCUAAUUAAUUUAAAAUAAUAAUUUAUAUUAUUUAAUAAAAAAUAUAUUUACUAAACAUAUAUAAAUAUAUGUAAGGUAUGGAACCAAUGCUGUAUUACCUAUCUUCAUCCUCAUCCUCAUCUCGUACCCUAUAAAAAUUUAAAAUUAUACACAUAUCCAUCCUUAUAAUUUAAUAUUCAUCCCAAUUCUGAUAAAAUAUCUAAUUCUCUAUUGAAUAUGGAUAAAAUUAACAUUCAUAAUAUCAUGCUGAUACCUCUAUUUAAGAAUGAGAACAUGUCAAGUUUGAGUUGAUUUUUGCUCAUCCCAACUCUUAACCAUUUUUUAAUAAUUCAAACCCACUUUGAUUUUGACUCGACAUCAAAUUAUUAUUUUUGUAUAGCUAAUCCCAAUCUUAUACAUAAAUUUAUAAACCACAUCUGACUUCUAUCAAUCCAAAAUUAAUUAAAUGAUUUAAAUGUAGUAUAAUAUCCAUAAAAAAAAUUUAAUAUAAAUUAUAUCUUAUAUAAAUAUAAUAUUUUUAUUAAAUUAAGAUAUUAAAUAAUAAUCUUAUUAAUAUAAUAUAUAUAUGAAUAUUUAAUUAAAAUAUAAAAUAAAAAUUAUAUUUUUAUAUAUAUCUUGGAUGAGGAAAAACACUUUAAAUCUACCUUUAACCAUACCUUUAUUUUCAAAAAAAAAAAACUUGACUUGGUCUUGAAUUUUUUUAAGAAAAGUACACCUAUUAGACCAAGUAGAAUUGAAAUUCAAAUGAUAUGCAUUGUUUUAUCAUCUUUAUCUAUAUUAACUUGUUUUUUUACAAAAUUAAUCUAAUUAAAAUAAGUAAAAAAAAGGCAUGACAAAAAAAAAGAAAAGAAAACCAAAUGGAGAUACCCCAUGAACACUUACAUCAGCCUCAUUUUUUUAAAAAUUUAUUUAUAGAUUUAAAAAAACAAAACUAAAAAAAAAUAAAAUUAAAAGAAGCAAAGGAUCGAAAAAAAAUUAUUAAUAUUAUUUUCUUACAAAAUUAUUUAAUUAAAAAAAGUACUAAAAGAAUUUUUAAUAAAAAAAAUCAAAUUAAUUCCAUACAAAAAUUAAAAAAAUGAAAUUAAAAAUAUUUAUUUAAUAUGAAAAUUAAAAAAUUAAAAAAAAGAUAAAAAGAUAAAGAAAAUUAAAAAAAAAAACAACAAAUAAAAAAAUGAAAAACUUAUUAAGUGCUAUGUGGCAUCCAAAUGAGUAAAAUUAAUAUAUAAGAUAAUUAGGCAUGGUCACAACUAAACUUAAUACUUUUAGAUACGAUACGAUAACAUAAUACAAAAACAACACAUGAUAAAUCGUAUAUAUUUUUUAUAAUCGUAUUUCGUAUCUUAAUUGUAUCGAUAUUUAGUACAUAACGUUACACGUGUCAUGUUUUAAAUGUAUUAUACAUUUAAGAUAUAAUUAAUUAAUUAAUUAAUUAAUCAUAUUUUAAUCGUGUUAUUGUAUAAACACAUAUAAAUAACAUAUUUGUAACACAUAUAAUAUUUUAUUAUAUUAUCAUUUUGAUUUAAUAUUAAAUUAUUGAUUAAAUAUUUUAAUUUUAAUCGUAUUUAAUUAUGUUAAUUAUAUAUAAUUAUAUUAAUUGUGUUGUGUUAUGUCAUAUUACUCAUUUUUAAAAUAAAUUAAAAUAUAUUUAUCAUAUCAUGUGACAUGCAACAUAUGUAAUAAAUAUAUCAUAUUUAUGUUUUAAUUAUUUAUAUCAUUUAAAUAUUUAUAUUACAUUCGUAUUAAUUAUUCAUAUCAUGUUUAAUUCAUCUGAGGGCUGAAAAUUUUAACAAUUGGAUAGCUCUUUUCGCACCAUUAUGUGCGAAAAUGAGUGAAGCCUGAAAAUAGUAUUUGGUUACUUUGACUAUCCCAAAAUCCGCUUUAAAUUUUGUUUCCCCUCUUUCAAAAUAGAAUUAAUAAAAAAAAAUGUUAAGAUUAGUUGGCAAUCAUCGAAGACUGAAGCAUCAAUUAUUGAAUACUAAUCAAUCAGUACAAAAUAAAAGCCAAAUCGUUUCCUCGUGGCAACAGUAUUUGACAACAUAGCAAUUAAAUGGUAAUAUAUAUUCUUAUAAAACAUUAAAAUUUAUGUAUUUUAUAUUAUAUUUUACAUAAAAAUUAUAUGUUAUGAUUUGUAUUAAUAUAAAAAUAUAAAAUAUAUCUUUUAAUUUAUUAAAUUAAUAUAAAUUUAUUAUUAAAAUUUUAAAUUAUAUUAUUUUUAUAUUUUAUAUUAUUCAUAUUAUAUUAUUAUGUUACAUUGAUGAGAUGUAAUAAAAAACCUAAUUGGAACAUAGUAGGUCACAUUAUAUUAAUUUAAGGGUGGCCAGGAGCUUUGCAUCAAAGGCUAUCAAGCGUUCGGUUUGAUUUCUCCAAGUCGGCGAAAACUUCAAACAUAAAGAAGCUACCAGCCUUUAGUCAAAGUCUCCAACAAAAUAAUGGAAAAGAAUAGCCGACCAAAAAACGCGUCUUAUGCAUACAACUAAAACUAACAACAACACACAAAGUACGCGGUUUACCUUUGGCGGUUCUUUCUUUGCUCACCAUUCGAUUCGCUGCCCCUCCCACUCCGUCUUUCCCCUCCUCAACCUACUCCCAUUGCUAUCUUCUUCAUAAUUCUUAGUUGUAUGGAAUACUCUCGUUACCGUUACUAAUGAGGAUUUCACUCUUUUCAUGGAUUUUCUUGAAUUCUUUUAUAGGCAGUUUUCAUUAGCAUCAAUGUAGUUUGCGUUUCUGCCCAAUGUCAAAGCGAUCAGAGACAGUUGUUGCUCAAAUUGAAAAGAAGCCUCAAUUCUACUUCAUUAGGAAAGCUGGUGAAGUGGAAUCACACCACGGAUUGCUGUUCUUGGGAUGGUGUAAGCUGCGAUGAAGGUGGUCGGGUUAUCGGCCUUAACUUGAGCAACCAAUCAAUUUCAGGUGCAAUUGAGAAUUCAAGUAGUCUAUUCAGUCUUAAGCAUCUGCAGCGACUCGAUUUGUCUUACAACAGACUCAGCUCAGCUUUUCCUUCAGGGUUUGACAAGUUUGCAAAUUUGAGUUAUCUUAAUUUGUCAAACGCAGGAUUUAAAGGUCAAAUUCCAGCUGAGAUUUCAAGCAUGACAAGGUUGGUUACUCUGGACUUAUCUGUAAGUUUAUUACUUGGAAGACCCUUGAAACUUGAGAAGCCAAACCUAAAGACGCUCGUUCAAAUCUCCCGAGGCUAAGAUUUCUCCAUCUUGAUGGCGUAUAUAUAUCAGCAAGAGGAAAUGAGUGGUGUCAGGCCUUGUCCUCACUGACCAGUUUGGAAGUGUUGAGCAUGUCCAACUGUAAUCUUUCAGGACCUAUAGAUUCUUCCUUUUCGAAGCUUCGGUCUCUCACAGUAAUCCGCUUGGACAACAACAACUUGUUUGCUCCACUUCCAAAAUUCUUUGCAGAAUUCUUAAAUUUAACUUCCCUUCGUCUUACUACUACUAGACUGCGUGGAAGACUCCCAGAAGAAAUCCUCCAAGCACCUACAUUACAGAUUCUUGAUUUGUCAAGCAACAAAUUGCUCUCAGGUUCGUUUCGAAACUUUUCUCUGAAUGCAUCUCUUCAGACCUUGGUACUUAGUGACACAAAAUUUGGGGGACAAGUACCAGAAUCUAUUGGUAACCUUGGGCAAUUGACAAGGAUAGAGCUUGCACGUUGCGAUUUCAGUGGACCAAUACCAGAUUCAAUCCUGAAACUUACAAACCUUGUCUAUCUGGAUUUUUCAUCCAACAAUUUUUCUGGUCCAAUGCCAUCAUUCUCAUCAUCAAGAAAUCUUACACAGCAAAACCUUGCUCAUAAUCAGUUAAAUGGCACAAUUCAGUCCACCGAUUGGUCAGGGCUUUCAAAGCUAGUAAGUAUUGACUUGCGAAACAACAAAUUCAGUGGAACAAUCCCAACAACUUUAUUCCGCAUUCCUUCACUGCAGAAAAUUCUUCUUUCACAAAAUCAAUUCGGUGGUAACCUCCGGCUUGGUGACCUCCAUGGUGAGGCCUAUUUACUAGAUACUCUUGAUCUUAGUAGCAAUAAGUUACAAGGGCCACUUCCGGAGUCUGUAUUUGAACUUCAAGGUCUCAAGAUACUGUCGCUUGCUUCAAACAGCUUCAGUGGCUUUAUACCGCUGAGUGCCAUUCAGAACCUGAGAAAUCUUUCCAGUCUUGAUCUCUCCCAUAACCGGUUGUCUAUUAAUGCCAGUGCUAUUAAUCCUUCCUUGCCUUCCUUCCCCAACAUUACCACAUUGAAGUUGGCUUCUUGCAACUUAAUGAAAUUCCCUGAUUUCUUGAAAGAUCAGAAUAGAUUAGUCUAUCUAGACCUUUCAAACAACAAUAUCCAUGGGGAAAUACCCAAAUGGAUUUGGGAAGCCAGAGGUCUUCUUCACCUAAAUCUUUCUCAGAACUUUCUUGUAGAAUUCGAAGGACCUUUGCAGAAUAUAACUUCUACUCUUAGUGUUCUUGACCUUCAUGGCAACCAGUUGCAAG
This 26252-nucleotide long non-coding RNA is filed under the name Durio zibethinus. Its description in RNAcentral is "long non-coding RNA (DZIB_LNC000877)". Lineage: Eukaryota; Viridiplantae; Streptophyta; Magnoliopsida; Malvales; Malvaceae. The record is from RNAcentral.